Molecule: long non-coding RNA, 13079 nt
Filed under: Homo sapiens (human)
Lineage: Eukaryota; Metazoa; Chordata; Mammalia; Primates; Hominidae
Description: non-protein coding PVT1:82
Rfam family: Pvt1 oncogene conserved region 7 (bases 341-477)
Source: RNAcentral
GAGAGGCAGGCGGGCCCUAGCUGCAGCGUCAAGGUCUGGGGAUUCUGUGGCUCUGUAGGGUGAAGGGCACUGGAGACCUACCAGGGGCUGGGCCAUUGGAGUGGUGGGUGCUGGGGAGCUUCCGUGGGCCCCUCCAGGUCCACUCCUUGCUCUUCUCUGCCUUGUUUUGUGCCCAGAAGGCUGACCUGUGUGGAUGCAUUAUCAGGGUGGAUGCAACACAGGGCUGCCAUGCUCUCUGGUAUCAGUUUGGAAGGCACUGGCAGGAUGGGAAGGCAGGCGGGGAGUGAGGUCAGGGGGCCUAUCCUUCCACUGCCUCCCUGCUGCUCCCUGACUGAUUCAGAAGGACAGAAUAACGGGCUCCCAGAUUCACAAGCCCCACCAAGAGGAUCACCCCAGGAACGCUUGGAGGCUGAGGAGUUCACUGAGGCUACUGCAUCUUGAGACUCAGGAUGAAGACCCAGCUUGGGGCUGUCAAAGGUUUUUUGCAUGUCUGACACCCAUGACUCCACCUGGACCUUAUGGCUCCACCCAGAAGCAAUUCAGCCCAACAGGAGGACAGCUUCAACCCAUUACGAUUUCAUCUCUGCCCCAACCACUCAGCAGCAAGCACCUGUUACCUGUCCACCCCCACCCCUUCCCCCAAACUGCCUUUGAAAAAUCCCUAACCUAUGAGCUUUGAAUAAGAUGAGUACGAACUUCAUCGCCCACGUGGCGUGGCCGGCCUCGUGUCUAUUAAAUUCUUUUUCUACUACAAUGCCGUGGUCUUUCUUUAUGCAGUGGGCAGGAAUAACCCCUUGGGCAGUAACAAAUUUGGGGUCUCAUGUGGGAUUGUGCUGGUGGCUACCUGUGUAUGAUUCGGUAGCCCCCCACUGGCAACAGGCCUGGAGGCCAGCUCAAACGGCUGCCUAGUUCUCCUGGCAGAGAGAUGGGGGCUGACUCUGGCACCAUCUCUACCGGCGGGACACUGCUGACCAUGGUGCAUGGAUGCAGUGGGCAGGAAGAAUCUCUUGGGCAGUUAUGCUAUCUAUCCAGUCCAUCUGUCAAAUGUAUCCAGACUAUGACCUCCUCUCACUUCUUGGUCGAAGCCACCCUCAUUCCUGCCUGGAAUUUUUGUAACAGCCCCUGGGCUGGGCUCCCAGCUUGUGCCUUUGCCUCUCAGUCUGUCUUCAAAACAGCAGCCAGGGUGAUCCUUUGAAAGGGCAGCCAGAGCUCAUAAGCCCAUUUGCUUCAAAACCCUCAAAGGGUUCCACCUAAUUCUGAGUAAAAGCCACAGGCCUCACUGUGGCCUGCGAGGCCCGUGGGAUGCAGCCCUGUGAUGUCUCUGAUCACGUCCUCGUCCUUUCCAUCUCAUUUCGCCCUGGCAUCCUGGCCCCUUUGUCAUAACUCAGACCCUCCAGGCAUACUUCUGCCUCAGGUUCUCUGCACCUGCUGUGUCCUCUCUAGCCUAUUUGUCCACUUCCUCAUCCCUUCUCAGUCUUUGCUCGGGUAUCAUCAUUUCCAUGAGGCCUUCCCUGGCCACCAGAUUUAACACUGAAACUUCCCCACAUCCCACGAAGCUCACUAUGCUCUUUGCUGGUUUUAUUUUCCUCCAUUGUUCUUGGUGUCUCCUAAUGGGUUCUACAAUUAAUUGUUUGAGUUGAUUUAUUAGUUUCUCUUACUCCCCUGGAAUAUAAACUUCAAGAAGGCAGUGAUUUUUGUCUUAUCUCUUUCCAAGAAAAGUAUCUGUGACAUGGUAGGCACUCCAUAAGUAUUUGUAAAACAAAUAAUUGGACUUCCUUAUACCAAAGACAGUCUGCACAGAAAACAAAUCUUUACUUCAAGCACAAACCUUUUGAUAUACAUAUAUAUGUCCAAGUUUUCCUUUUUUUUUUUUUUUUUUUUUUUUUUCAGAGAAGGGCCCUUUCUGGUUUCCCCUGCUGCCCAUCAGGAUGCACUCAGGCAGCAACUGUACAGUAAAAGGGGACACCUUUAGCCUCUGGUUUCCCAGAGCAGAGAGCUGUCAACACCAUAAGCUAUUUUUGCCUCACCUCUGGUGCUCCGGAGUGGCAGGCCAGUCACAGGUGUGGUGCAUCAGACUAUGAAGAGGCUGGGUGGCCACAACUCUGUGCUGGGAUGCUGACCUCUUUGAGGCAAACAGCAUGAGCUGGAAAAAGUGUGUCUAUCUCAGAGUUAAAAACUGGUGAAUUCCCCUGUUGCUCUUUACCAUCUCCUGGGUCCGUAUGAUCUGACUGCCACCCACUUUCCCCUUUCCUCACUGGGCUCCAGACACACUGGCUUCCUUCCUUCCUGAAGCCUCCAUCUGCUGCCGAGCUCAGGGCUUUGUUAGACGCUCACCCUGCCUGUGUUGCUUCCUGCAGUGUGCUGAAUUGUGUCUCCCAAAAGAUAUGCUGAAGUUCGGACUUCCAGAACCUGUGAAUGUGACCUUAUGUAUAAUAGAAAUAGGGUCUUCGCAGAUGCGAUCAAGUUCAAAUAAGGUCACUCUGGAUGACGGUGGCCCCUAAUCCACUGGCUGGUGUCCUGAGGACAGAGACACACAGUGGGGAGGCCUUGAGAAGAUGGAGGUAAAGGUGGGAAUGAUGCAUCUACAAGCCAAGGAGCACCAAGGAUUGCUGGCAACCACCAGAAACUAGGAAGAGGCAAGGAAAGGCUCUUCCCUACAGCUUUCAGAGGGAGCACAGUCCUGCUGACACCUUGAUUUCAGACUGCUAGUCUUCAGAGCUGUGGAAAAAUACUUUUCUGUUAUUUUAAGCUCCCCAAUUUAUAAUAUUCUGUUAUGGCAGCCCCAGGAGAUGAAUACAUUUCUUUCUCCUCCUUCGUUUCAUACCUCUAGUGCCAUCUCCUUGAAGAGUCGUUCUUUAACUCCCAGUCAUUACUAGGUUCCCAAGUUCUACACCUUUAGCUCUGCAGCCUAUUCCCACGGGAGAUUCUCUUGGUAGCCUCCCCCGACACAGUGUAAGCCCCUUUGUGUCCAGGUUGCUCACUAUGGGUCCUCAGUCUCUGAGAGCGUCUUCAGCACACAUUGCGUGAGCAAUCAAUUUUUGUUGAAUGAAUGCAUUGCAAUCUGGAGUGAGCAUAAGAUCCCAGUCAGAAGAUUGCCCUGGGUGCUUCCCCUAGAAAUCCUCAAAGUACAAUUAUUCAGAUUGAGUCACUCAGCCCAUGGUACCCUACAGUUGCAGAUGACACAAGAAACAUGAGAACCUCUGAGGACUUUCCAAGCUGGGGCCUGUUCUUACUGUUUAGCAUGAAAUGUGUUUUCCUGCUAAGAACAUGAACCAGAAAUGAGUUUUACCGAGUGGUUAGCAAGACCUUAAAUAGAAAGGAAACUCCAAAAAAUGUAACUUCUCUCACACUUAAGCCUCCUUUUCAACUUCCCUUUCCUGCUUCCCAUCACUAGAACCUCCAGAUCUUAUUUCCUGGGUGAUGAUGAAUGGUGGGCCCUAUUUCAGACCUCCCCAAAUUCUGCUGAACUUCCUCUCUUUGGGUUUUAGACAGAGAGGUAUGGUAAGUGCCUCUAGAACUGACAUCUCCUGUGAGACCCUUCUCUUACAUGCUAUGUAGGUUUGGCUGCUGAUGGAUUCAGAAUGGUUUUUAUUGAGCACCUACUAAGUGCUAGCUUUUACACUACGCAUUUUGACACUCUGUAACUUCUUUUUCAUUUAAUCUGUUCCAGAAACUUAUGUUCACUAUGAUGUGAUCUUGCUUUUGAUCCAUUUUACUGAUGAGGAAAUUGAAGCUCAGAGAGGUCAAGUAAUUUGCCUAAGGUCACACAGUUAAUAAAUGGUAACGCCAUUUUCAAUUCUACAUCUGCCUGACUACAAAGUUGGUGGUUUUCCUUUCCUAAAUGUUACAACUAAAAACCCACUCUAGCUCAAAAUGGCAAUGGGCUUUAUUGUAAGGAUUUGGGCUGUGCCUGGGACUGUCUGGUGGUUAUCCAGCAGCCUCUUAGGAGGAGUUGGCCUGUUGGAUUUAUGGACUUGGGACCCUUGGUAUGUGCUCAGCACAUGCCACAGACCUGGCAAGCAUGCUGGCCUGGGGUCAUCUGCUCUUGGGGCUGUGUUUUCUGAUUAAGGGACAUUAGGCUAGCCACUUCCCACAUCCAGCUUCAGUUUCCCCAACUAUAAAAUUAAGACAUAGAUAUGCUUUCCACGCUGCCAUCCUGCCCUGAUAAUCAGAUUUUAGUAUCCCAGGGCUAUAACGCCCCAUUCUUCCAUACCCCUCAAACUCCUGCCUUUCUAUCCUAUCUGGAACUGUGGCUUACAUAAAAACUCCCAAGGCAUCCAUGCAGGUCCCUUCUGUCAGAGGCUCCAGCUUCUCCAUCCCUUUCCUCCCCUCAGUCGACAUCCUCUCCUCUCCUGGAGUUAGUCCUGCUGGGGGACCUUGGGCAAGUUCCUUCACCUCUUUGAGCUUCCGUAUCCUUCUCUUUAAUGAUCUCGAAUGUAACAACCCCACCUCAUAGCCUCAUUAUGAGAGCUAGAUGAAAUGAAACAAUAACCACUGUUUACCUUUCAGGCACCUGGCAGAAGUGCACGCUCUGGAGCUGAGUGGAUGGGUGCAAAUCUUGGCCAUGCUGCUCCUCCACACCCAAGCGGUUUGGGCCUGGACUAGUUGCCUGAUGCUCCACACCUCCACAUGCUCUCUUGUCAGGCAGAAACAGUAACAGCAACCCCCCACGCCUGUUAUGAGAGUUAAGUGAGUUGAUAUUUCUAAAACACAUCAGUGUGGGGCAUUAGGCUAGCCCCUAAUGCCACUCAUGCCAACAAGUGCUGUAGAAGAGUUAGCCAUUAUUCUUAGGUCAGCUAAUUAUCCAAUCAGCCUGACAAAGGAGGUACUGUUAUUAGCCCCAUUUUAUAAACAGGAAAGAUCAGUAACUUGGCCAAGGGCAGAGGGGCAGGCCUUGAGCCCAGACGGAUAAGACAUUCCAGGGGGAGGCUCCUCACCUUCAGUUACACUGACUGCUGGAUAUAAGGGGGCUCCCCACUUGGAGCUUAAAGGUUUGCAAUAGCCACCUUGAAAUUCUUGAAAAUCUUAAUCACUUUAUGUUUGAGUUUGUGUUUUGUAAGUGAAGUUCUGCUUCUGCCACCUCCCCCUUUCCCCAAAUGUGCCCAAGACUGAAGAGGGUCAGAGUCAAUCCCAUAAUUGUGCCAUGGGGCAGGGCUGUGGAGGUCUUCAAGGGGCUGUAUUCACCCUACAAGUAUUCCUGUGCCCAAAAGAGUAUGACAUUAAAUAGCAGAUAAAAACAAAACAAAACACACCAGGACGGAGAUCUCAGAAUAAAGAAAAAAGCUUUUUUUUUUCCUGUUUGAACAAGCAUUUUCAUUCUGCACCAGGCCUUGCUAAUAAGGUAGCCAGAUCUGGGUGCAUAGCAUGUCACGGGCGGGAAUGAAAUGAUAGUACUCUUUCGCUUCAAAAAAAAAAAACCCCAAAAUACUUGUUCCAAGUUUAGUAACUGAGUGCAGUUUGUUCUGACUUUUGAUUCACAGGUAGAGACAAAGUCUUUAGCUGAAAGGUAAUAGUUUUGCCACCUUCUACAAAUAUAGAUAUAUUUUUUCCCUAAAGCCUCCUGAGUCCUUUUUAAGAUUUGCAUCCAAAAUAUGGGCCCUUUGCCACCGACAUUCCUGUUUGGUAGUGGAUGAGAGGGCAAUCUUAUUUUUUUCUUCUUCUGUUGUUAUAAUCCUCAGAUGCAGAGUGUUCUCUUUAAAAGACGCUUUUAAAGGGCAAUUACUUUAUGCAAAUGUGGGCAUCUCUGGAUGGCUGGCAAGGCUGGAGUCAGGCCGUGGAAGCCUGGAAAGUGGACUGCGCGGGCUGGGCAGGGGACCAGGAGGGAGGCCCUGCUUGCCGGUAUCAGCAACUUUCUUCUGCUGCCCCCUGGACCUCUGGGAGAAGACUCAGCAGCCACAGCCAGAGUAAUGGGAAGAUCACAGCCGCAUAGGGCUGUGAAUCAGGGAGGACACCUCAUCUGGUUUAUCUCAUGUGAAAUAGAUGAGGCUCCUUGAGAUCUGAGCAAGCAGCCACUCGAAGCCAAUCAUGGGCGCCACUGCAGACCUGUGUCCAAUGAGAGAUCUCAGUUAAAGUAGAAUAGACCACGCUUCUGUGUCUCCUGCUUCAGUGUAGGCCACAGCACAGCAGAGGGUGGAACAUUCCAGGAAAGAGUUAAGGAUGCAGGAGAAACCCCCUAAGGGAGGCCAGUAUGAGAAAAGGUGGCCUGGGAUUGUAUGGUGGGGGAGAGGCAGCUGGGCUCCAGAUCCUUUUCUUACCCUUGGAGCCUAUGCAGUCUUCAAGAGGCCACUGCUGGCCGGGCGCGGCGGUUCACACCUGUAAUCCCAGCACUUUGGGAGGCCGAGGCGGGCAGAUCACGAUGUCAAGAGAGGGAGACCAUCCUGGCCAACAUGGUGAAAUCCCGUCUCUACUAAAAAUACAAAAAUUAGCUGGGCACGGUGGUGCGUGCCUGUAGUCCCAGGUACUUGGGAGGCUAAGGCGGGAGAAUCUCUUGAAGCAGGAUAAUCGCUUGAACCCGGGGGCGGAGGUUGCAGUGAGCCGAGAUCGCGUCACCGCAUUCCAGCCUGGACAACGAAGCGAGACUCCUUCUGAAAAAAAAAAAAAAGAAGAAGAAAAAAAAGGGGGGCCACUGCUCCAGUGGCUAGGCCCAAUCUCAUUUCCAAAGCUGCUUCAGGCAUCUGUGAAACCCCCAGAUGGAGCAGCCCGGGCUGUGGACACUCUGCCGCAUCCAUGCCUCCUUGUUGCUUAGUGAGCCUGUUCUCAUUACUCCCCCAGCGCCACCCUCUGCAUUUGCUCCACUCCUCCUAGAGAUGCAUCUUUCAUUUUUGCAUCACUAAAUGCACUUCUUCUGUUUCUCUGUUUACCGGAGAAAAAAAUAGGAAGCGUGGGAGGCAGGGCACAACAGUCUUCGCCUCGGGUUCGUUGGGUAAGUUUCGCCCAUUCUCCAAGAGGGGACCUGACUAGGGAGGCUCACGGUUCAGAUCGGUGCUCCAAAUUCCCAACAUACAACUGAGUCAUUUUUACUUGUUUCUACAAUUUGUUAAUAGUAGCUGGCCUUUGCUGAGUUCCAUCUAUGAGCUUGGCCCCCUUGCUAAUCUCUCUACUACAUACAAUACCCCUUUUAAGUCUUUUUUAUCGCAAUAUAGUUUACAGAUGACAAAAUGCAAAGAUCUUAAGUUAGAAUUUGGUGUGUUUUGCAAAUGUAUACAUCCGUGUACCUUUCACCCCCAAACAAGAACACAGGACAUUUCUUUCACCCCUGGGAAUUGCCUUGUGUCUCUUUCUAUAUUCCGUCCUGCUCACCCCACACGAAGGUGACCACUGUUCUAAUUUCUGUCCUACCCAUGCAUUUUCUCUGUUCUAGAACUUCUUAGAAUCAUCUUUACUUUCCUCAUGUCUAGCUUCUUUUCUUCAGUACACUGUUUAUGAGAUUCAUCCAGGUUGUUGCAUAGAUCAAAAACACUUCCUUUUUAUCGCUAUUUAGUAUUCCAUUCUCUGGAUACUCCACACUGUUUAUUAUUUCAUCUGUUUGAUGGACAUUUGGGAUGUUUUAAGUGUGCAUUGAUGAUGAAUAAGGCUGCUAUGAGAUUUCAUGGACAAGUCUUUUUAUGGACAUAUGUCUUGGGGAAAUACCUAGAAGAGGAAUUGUUGGAUCAUAUGCUAAGUGUAUUUGUAGCUUUCUAAGCAACUGCCAAAACUGUUUUUCCAAGUGGUGGUAUCUUUUUUUUUUUUUUUUUUUUUGAGAGAUAGUCUUGCCCUGUCACCAAGGCUGGAGUGCAAUGGUGUGAUCUCAGGUCACUGCAACCUAUGCCUCCCAGGCUCAAACGAUUCUCCUACCUCAGCCUCCUGAGUAGCUGGGAUUACAGGCACCCACCAGCACGCCUGGCUAAUUUUUGUAUUUUUAGUAGAGACGGGGUUUCACCGUGUUGGCCAGGCUGGUCUCAAACUCCUGACUGCCUCGGCCUCCCAAAAUGCUGAGAUUACAGGAGUGAUCCACAAUGCCUAGCCAAUAUUAUUUUUUAACUCUUGCCAGGAGCAGAGGAGAGCUCCAAUUGCUCCACAUCCUCACCAACAUUUGGUAUUGACAGUCUUCUUGAUUUUUGGCCAUCUUAGUGGGUGUGGAGGGCUGUCUCGCCAUGGUUGUUAUUUACAUUUUCCUAAUUACUAAUGGCAUUGGGCACUGUUUCACACACUUAUUGCAUAUAUCUUCUUUGUGAAGUGUCUAGGUCUUUUCUUUAUUUGGGAAGAUGGGUUGUUUGUCUUUUUAUUAUCGAGUCGCAAGGGUUAUUUAUAUAUCAUUGAUACAAAUCCCUGGUCAGAUACAUGUGCUGCAAAUAUUUUCUUCCAGUCUCUACUCACACUGUCUCUUUUAAUCCUCCCAGCAACUUGAUGAAGUAGAUGUUACUAUCCUCUUCUUUAUUUCCUAGAAGCCAAAACUGAAGCACAGAAAGUUUAAGUGAAAUGUUCAGAAUCACACAGCUACUCAGUAUGGCAGUGAGAGUGUGGGCCUACUGCAGUGUGACUCAGAGCAUUGAUGUCCAGAAAAUCCCAGGAAGCUUCUUUCCACACACGAAGCCUUGUAUCUCCCUGGCAGUCUGGAGGCAUGUGGCCCUCGAGCCAGUGCUGGGCUGGGUUAUUUCGGUUCACACUCUCGCCCUCUGCCUUGCACAUACCAGACCAUCCUGGGAAGUAGGCGGCUCCCACAACCCGGUUGGGAGCGUGGUCUUCUGGGGAGGAUGCCACACAGCUUUGAGUUGCUCUGAUGAAAGACAAACUGCGGGGAUUCUUAUGGGCCUCCGAGGACGCUGACAGUAUUACCUCAUGCCAGGAAUAACAAUGAGGGGCCUAGGCGAGCUCGCCGCCAGCCCUUCUCUGGGAGGCACCGCUGGAGGAAACCAGCCAGGAGAUGGGAGGACGGGGCUGGGAUAUUUAGUCCACAGCUGUCUCAAAGGAGAACUAUUGGGUGCCUCAGGGACUUCCCUCUUUCUUUCUCCUUUCUGAGCAGGUGAAAGGGUCCCUGCGGCAGUCAGAGCGAAAGGCUAGGAGGUUUUGUGAGAGUAAGAACAAUGGCAACUCCAGCCCUCAAAAUGCUAGUUGGAAGAGCGAGCCUCUCUGAGCACUCGCUGUGUGCCAGGCACCGCGUCCACACUUUGCAGCCCCACUUGAUGCAAGACUCUGUGUAGUGGCUUUGCAUUUACUCCCUCAAUCCUCGUCACACCCCCAUGAGACACGCACUAUUAAAAUGCCUACAGGAGGAAACUGAGGUCCAGAGAGGUGAAGUAAUUUGCCUAACGUCACUUAUUUAUAAGUGGUUGAAGUUUGAAUAGGGGUUUAGCUAAUUCUAAAGCCCAGUAGCUUUACUGCUACGCACUUCUGCCAUUCUGUUAAAAAACUUUGUCAAAUUUCAAGUUUGUGUCAUGCACUACACAUGAGGUGUCUUGGUCAGUGGAAUAUAAGAUUGAACAAGACCUGACUCUUCUUUGGGCACUGUGUGGGUUGGAUGGUGGACCCCCAAAAGAAAUGUCUACAUCUCAGAACCUGUGAAUAUCAUCUCACUUGGAAAAAAAUAUUUUUGCAUAUAUAAUUAAGGAUCCUGAGAUGAGAUCAUCCUGGAUUCUUUGGGUGACCCUAAAUCUAGUGACAAGUAUUUUUAUAAGAGACAGAAGAGAAGGUCAUUUAAAAAGGAAACAGAGAUUGGAGUGAUGUAGCCACAAGCCAAGGAACACCUGAGGCCUCCAGAAGCUGGAAGAGGCAAAUAAUUCUCCCCUGGGACAUUUAAAAGGAGCUUAGCUUAAUAUAUUACAUUCAUUAGAAGUGAGUCCCUAGGUCCAAUCCACCUGCAACUGGAGUACAUUACACAAAAGCUUGAAUACCGGGAGGCAGGAAUCAGUGGGGGCAUCUUACAAGCUGUCUAGCACAGUGCCAAGAGGCAGGGAUCACACCUUCUUUUGCUUUUUAAAUUUCUUUUUUAAUUUUUUCGAGAAUGUGUCUUGCUCUGUCACCCAGUCUGGAGUGCAGUGGCGCAAUCUUGGCUCACUGCAACCUCUGCCUCCUGGGUUCAAGUGAUUCUCCAGCCUCGGCCUCCUGAGUAGCUGAGAUUACAGGCACACACCAACACGCCCAGCUAAUUUUUGUAUUUUUUAAUAGAGAUGGGGUUUCCCCAUGCUGGCCAGGCUGGUCUUGAACUCUCGACCUCAGAUAAUCCGCCUACUUUGGCCUCCCAAAGUGCUGGGAUUAGAGGUAUGAGUCUGACCCCACCUUCUAUUUUUCUGGCAAUCCCCAUCCCCACCUUCUGUUUUUCUGGCAGUCCCUGGCCCCUAACUGAAAGAAAAAGAACUAACAUUUAACAUUUUUAUUUAUUAAGAAAUAAUAGCAUUUAUUAUGCAUUGACUGUGUAUCAACAACCAUGCCAGACUCCUUAAACACAUCGUUUCAUGCAGUAUCACUUGACCCUCCUAUGAACCCUGAAAAGGGAGGUGUUCUUACCUCCAUUUGACAGAGGAGGAAACCAAGGCUCAAAAAGAUGAAGGCCACACAGUAGCCUCUCAGAGGAAGCCAGUGGUUCUCAAACUGUAGCUGCAUCAGAAUCGCUUGAAAACAAUCUCUAAGCCCUGAACACAGAGUUUCUGUCUGAUUUUGCAGCUUUAGGGUGGGACUUCAGAAUCUGUUUCUUUUUGCUUUUGCUUUUGCUUUUUUUGAGACAGAGUCUCUGUCUAGCAGGCUGGAGUGAAGUGGUACGAUCUCGGCUCACUCCACCCUCCAGGUUCAAGUGAUUCUCCUGCCUCCUCUCAAGUAGCUGGGAUUACAGGCGCCCACCGCUACACCUGGCUAAUUUUUGUAUUUUUAGUAGAGACGGGGUUUCACCAUGUUGGCCAGGCUGGUCUCGAACUCCUGACCUUAGGUGAUCCACCCACCUCGGCCUCCCAAAGUGUUGGGAUUACAGAUGUGAGCCACCGCGCCUGGCCAGAGAAUAUGUAUUUCAGACAAGUUCCAAGUUGAGGCUGAGGCUGUGGGCUUGCGGAUCAAGCUUUUAGAACCACUGGAGAAUCAAUAUAUUUUGCAGCAACAGACAAACCCUAAAGUUUCAAUGGAUUAACAUAUCAAAUGCAUUUCUUGCUUAAGUUGCAGUCUUACUGGGGUAGGGCAGCCCUCCUUCAUGCUAUAGCCCCUAUCAUUUGGAGCAUAUGGUCCCCAAAGUCACCAUGGAAGGAAAAAGAGAGGGCAGAGGGUCACUUAGGAUGUUCAAAAAAGGCUAGGCCUAGAAGAGGAGGCUUUUAUGCCUUUUGCUUAGCCUUCAUGGGCCAAGACUCAGCCCCAUGGCCUCAAACUAACUGCAAAAGAGGCUGGGAAAUGUAGUCUUCCCCAGGAGGAGCAAAUGGUUAAGAUGAGCACACAGCUGGUCAGGGCAGGGCUGGGAUUUGUGCUCAGGUGCUUUCUCUCUUUCUUCUCUUGCCUUUUUCCUGGUCCAGGUGUUUUUGGUGGGCUUUCUUAGUGUUAAGGAACUUCUGUAUGUGUGUGUGUGAAACUGAAAAAAGAGAAGAGGAAAGAGACAUUUUCGAGGUCCUUCAGCCCACUCUCUUGCCAGCAGCCUUCACCCAUCUUCACUUCAUCUUAGAGGUGCAGGUGACAGUUGAUAAGUACCUUGAAAGGCCUCCAUGUGUGUGCAGGGCAUUCUUUCGUAAGUUUCAUCUGUACCAUGUUAAGUGAUUCAGGGCCACUAUCUCUGAAUUUGAAGAACCCUCAAGCUACUGGUUCUCCAGGACCUAAACCCUGGACUCCAGGCCACAGACAAGCUCUGAGUGAAAAAUGAAUCCUUCUUGCCGCUCCUCCCCUAUGCUUCACAUUGCUCCAAACCUACCUGCCUCCAACACGUGGUGCAGUUUCUACCUUCCCUUCCUUUGCAUAUACUGUGACAUCUGCCCGAUAUCUUUCUCUUCCCUCCAGACUUGACUCAGAUGAUACCAGCUCUAUGAAGCCUUCAUCAAUCUGUCAAAGAAAUAUUCAACUUACCCUCAUUCUGGGUCAGAGGCACAGGCAUGCUUCUUUGUCUAACCUAUGGUCUAGCACUUGUCAAGGCCUGUGUAGACUUUGCACUUGCCUGCCUCUCCUUAGAGAACGUGAGAUGUUCUUGAGCCAAAACUGUGUAGCAUCUUUUCUUGGCCUCUUAAUUUCUGACAAGACUGAGUCUAGAAGCCUUCCUGUGAUGUGCAAAGCCCUCCUCAAGAUCCACAGGUAAAGAAGGAAGUCUCUGGCAUUAGUUUGAAUCCCAGCUGAGCCACUUGUGGGCUGUGUGACCAAGGGGAAAUUCUUAGUCUCAUGAAUGCCUCAGUUUUCUCAUCUGUAAAAUGGAGGUAGUAAUGUUGUGUAUGUUCAAUGAAAUAAUGCACCUAAAGCCCUUUGAACAGUGCAUGGAAAAAACUCAGGAAGUGCCAGCCAUCACUGUGUUCUUAUCAUUGCUCUUGUUAGUAUCUUGCUACUUUAGCCCACACCAGCCACAUCAGAUCACUUACUCGCUGACAAUUUUGAUGAUCUUGCAUGCUCCUUUGCUUUUGCACUUAAUCUCUUCUGCUCAGAGGUCCCUGUCUCUCACCUAUUAAUGAAUUAAUUCAUACUUAUUCUUUCAUUUAUUUAACAAACUUUUUCCUUAACUCAUUCCUGCUCAUCCUGUAGACUCGUCUUGGCCCUUCCUGUCCAUUCCCAUUGGAUUUACCACUCCUGUUUUGACUUAUGUUUACUUUUCUGUAUCUCCGUGAACAACUUGAAAGCAGAAAAAAAGAUGCUCAUUUCCUACUGGAUUUACUGCUCUGAAGCCAGUUCCUAAUAUCUUGAUUGUCACAUAGCGGGAGCUUAAUGAACAUUUGCUGAAUGAAUAUAUGAACGUUUCUCAUCUCUGAAUCUGUUCCCAAAGCUUAGUGCAUUGUAGGUGCUUACCCAGGACUCUUUCUCUUGCAGGAAACCAGAUCACUCUGGAUGCAUAUCAUCUAAAGGCCCUAGUUGUGGGAGGGCUACUUUUAAUCAGUGUAUUGGCCGGGCGCAGUGGCUCAUGCCUGUAAUCCCAGCACUUUGGGAGGCCGAGGUGGGCG